Molecule: long non-coding RNA, 261 nt
Organism: Triticum aestivum (bread wheat)
Lineage: Eukaryota; Viridiplantae; Streptophyta; Magnoliopsida; Poales; Poaceae
Exons: 4
Source: RefSeq, a predicted model, not a curated record
CUCACGGCCUCACCCUCAACCUCAAGCAACCGCGCCGCCGCCCCUGCGAAGCGUUCGUGCCGCAGCUCCGCCAUGAAGUUCAAGAUCGCGACCGAAGAAGACGAGGAGCUGCGGAGAAUCUCUAAGGAGGAAUUCAAGGGUUAUGUCUUCACAAUCAUUGGUGGCUGCCACUAGUAGAAAAAGGGUCAUCUGUCCCGGUUGGUAAGGGCCUUUUGUCCCGGUUGUUGAACCGGGACUAAAGGGUCGUUACUAAUGCCCUAG